CGGGAUGUAGCGCAGUCUGGUAGCGCACCUGCUUCGGGAGCAGGGGGCCGGAGGUUCAAAUCCUCUCAUCCCGACCA
Molecule: transfer RNA, 77 nt
Filed under: Desulfuromonas sp.
Lineage: Bacteria; Pseudomonadati; Thermodesulfobacteriota; Desulfuromonadia; Desulfuromonadales; Desulfuromonadaceae
Also listed under: 5 other names
Description: tRNA-Pro
Rfam family: tRNA
About the family: Transfer RNA (tRNA) molecules are approximately 80 nucleotides in length. Their secondary structure includes four short double-helical elements and three loops (D, anti-codon, and T loops). Further hydrogen bonds mediate the characteristic L-shaped molecular structure. tRNAs have two regions of fundamental functional importance: the anti-codon, which is responsible for specific mRNA codon recognition, and the 3' end, to which the tRNAs corresponding amino acid is attached (by aminoacyl-tRNA synthetases). tRNAs cope with the degeneracy of the genetic code in two manners: having more than one tRNA (with a specific anti-codon) for a particular amino acid; and 'wobble' base-pairing, i.e. permitting non-standard base-pairing at the 3rd anti-codon position.
Source: RNAcentral